GGAGGGGUGGCAGAGUGGUUGAAUGCACCGGUCUUGAAAACCGGCAAGGGUGAAAGCCCUUCGUGGGUUCAAAUCCCACCCCCUCCGCCA
This 90-nucleotide transfer RNA is filed under the name Wenzhouxiangella sp. RNAcentral describes it as "tRNA-Ser". It matches the Rfam family "tRNA". Rfam says of the family: Transfer RNA (tRNA) molecules are approximately 80 nucleotides in length. Their secondary structure includes four short double-helical elements and three loops (D, anti-codon, and T loops). The record is from RNAcentral. RNAcentral also lists the same sequence under 1 other name. Lineage: Bacteria; Pseudomonadati; Pseudomonadota; Gammaproteobacteria; Chromatiales; Wenzhouxiangellaceae.